UGGGGUGAGCUAUACAAUGGGUUGAUCUGUAGAAUGGAGUGAGCUGGACAAUGGGGCUACUCACCCCACCCACCUUGCAAAGUGAUGCAGGACAGGAAAUGGGUUAAUAGAAGCUCGGAUUUAGAAGAGUGCCUGGCACGCCUAAGGGCUCAAGCCGUCUGUGUAAUUAUCUUAAACUUUUUCAUUUCGGAAAUGAAACAGCUCCUCCCUUCACCGCCACCUUGGCUAUUUCUGGGACCAAAGGAAUCCUUGAAGCUGACCGGGCAGGAGAGUCCACGCUGGGAGUAAAAUCACUACAAACUGUCCAUCAGAAGGCCCCUGCUGAGUAGUUGGCAGGGUGGCUGCACAUAAUGGAAAGCACAUAAGCUUGAAGCCAGACAGAUGGGAGUUCUAACCCCAGCCCUGCCACUUAUUCCCAGGUGACACUGAGUGGAAAUUAGGCCAAAAUAAAUACUACUUUCUGCUUAAAAAAAUGCAGUGAUGUCCAAAGAGAAGGGAGGAGGAAGGAUGAAAGGAAAGACAGAGGAGGAAGGAAGAGAAGAAAGAAGAGUGGCCGGCACAAGGGCUUGGAGAUCCCUGAAGCUGUUUUCCUUUCUCCUCACCCCCACAGGGAGGGAUCCACAUCGUUGUGGGGUUUUUGUUGUUGUUGUUUUUGUUUUUGUUUUUUUGCCUCCCUUCAUCAAAGCAUUCAUUGUAGUGUAUGGUAAUUGUCUCUGAAUGUAACAGCCUCUCUUCCCUGAGGCCUGGGUCUGCUUGUUUCAUACCAUCUUCUCCUUAACACACAGUGCUUGGUAAACAAUACCUAUUAAUAAACAUUUGUUGAAUGAAUGAAUGAGUGAAUGAACGAAUACUGCACUCUUUCGACUUGGUUAGAGACAUGUCUUGUAGGCUGGCAUGUACUUCACACAGCACUCUUAGGUAGAGUUUGUAUAUGUUAUUCCAUUGAAGGGAAAAGGAAGCCAGACUGUGGGGAGAAAAAAAAAAAAAAAA
This 990-nucleotide long non-coding RNA is filed under the name Homo sapiens (human). RNAcentral describes it as "HSALNT0317965". Lineage: Eukaryota; Metazoa; Chordata; Mammalia; Primates; Hominidae. The record is from RNAcentral.